This 468-nucleotide ribosomal RNA is filed under the name uncultured bacterium. RNAcentral's name for it is "partial 16S ribosomal RNA". It matches the Rfam family "Bacterial small subunit ribosomal RNA", at positions 28 to 507 of the family's 1533-position model. The record is from RNAcentral.
GACGAACGCUGGCGGCGUGCUUAACACAUGCAAGUCGAACGGAAAGGCCCUGCUUUUGUGGGGUGCUCGAGUGGCGAACGGGUGAGUAACACGUGAGUAACCUGCCCUUGACUUUGGGAUAACUUCAGGAAACUGGGGCUAAUACCGGAUAGGAGCUCCUGCUGCGUGGUGGGGGUUGGAAAGUUUCGGCGGUUGGGGCUGGACUCGCGGCUUAUCAGCUUGUUGGUGGGGUAGUGGCUUACCAAGGCUUUGACGGGUAGCCGGCCUGGGAGGGUGACCGGCCACAUUGGGACUGAGAUACGGCCCAGACUCCUACGGGAGGCAGCAGUGGGGAAUAUUGCACAAUGGGCGGAAGCCUGAUGCAGCAACGCCGCGUGCGGGAUGACGGCCUUCGGGUUGUAAACCGCUUUCGCCUGUGACGAAGCGUGAGUGACGGUAAUGGGUAAAGAAGCACCGGCUAACUACGUG